CCUGGCGGCAGUAGCGCGGUGGUCCCACCUGACCCCAUGCCGAACUCAGAAGUGAAACGCCGUAGCGCCGAUGGUAGUGUGGGGUCUCCCCAUGCGAGAGUAGGGAAUGCCAGGC
This 115-nucleotide ribosomal RNA is filed under the name Escherichia coli. Lineage: Bacteria; Pseudomonadati; Pseudomonadota; Gammaproteobacteria; Enterobacterales; Enterobacteriaceae. The record is from RNAcentral.